UUGAGAAUAAAUAUAUGUGUUGAAAAGGUUCAAGUUUGGGGUUGUAUGGGGAAAGUAAAAGGCAAAAAAGAAGCAUUGAGUUCAAAAGAUGAAAAAGAAAAAUGCAUGAGAAAGAAAAGAAAAGAAGAAAAGAGAAAAAACAUGAAAAGUGAACUCAAUGUAAAAGGAAAAAGGGAAAAAGUUAGGAAUGAGUGAGAUUGGUUAAAAAGAGAGUGUGCUUGAACUUUGAAUGAUGAUUUAAACUCUCUUAACUCAAGGAUUUUGUAUUCCAGAAAAAUCAAUUUUUCUUGAUAGCCCAGCCACAAUACAAGCCUUGGAACAAGUCCUUGUGAUGACAUGUGUAUGUGAAGAUUUUGAUUGUUUUAGUUGAAUGACAAUAUUGUUUUAUGUGACAUGUGAACAGUAGAGAGUAGAGUGACCUCCUAAGCACUUGAGAGAUUGAGUGAAACACUUGCUUGGUGAGAAUUGUUAAAUCCAUGUUUAUAUCUUUGCUUAGUUGAUUGAUCAUUCAUGAACAAAACAUCUGUUGAAAAAAGAGAUUGAUUAUGUGAACUAAAAUCGGAUUGAAAGCAU
RNAcentral lists this long non-coding RNA (573 nucleotides) under Vigna radiata. RNAcentral's name for it is "long non-coding RNA (VRAD_LNC008401)". The record is from RNAcentral. Lineage: Eukaryota; Viridiplantae; Streptophyta; Magnoliopsida; Fabales; Fabaceae.